GAGUUUGAUCGUGGCUCAGAUUGAACGCUGGCGGCGUGCCUAACACAUGCAAGUCGAGCGGUAACAGGUGUAGCAAUACAUGCUGACGAGCGGCGGACGGGUGAGCAAUAUUUGGGAAUCUGCCUAUUAGUGGGGGACAACCCGGGGAAACCCGGGCUAAUACCGCAUACGCACUACGGUGGAAAGCCGGGGACCGCAAGGCCUGGCGCUAAUAGAUGAGCCCAAAUCGGAUUAGCUAGUUGGUGAGGUAAUGGCUCACCAAGGCUACGAUCCGUAGCUGGUCUGAGAGGACGACCAGCCACACCGGAACUGAGACACGGUCCGGACUCCUACGGGAGGCAGCAGUGGGGAAUAUUGGACAAUGGGCGAAAGCCUGAUCCAGCGACGCCGCGUGAAGGAUGAAGGCCUUCUGGGUUGUAAACUUCUUUUAUUGGGGAAGAAAACUAUGGUUUCUACUAUAGCCGACGGUACCCAAGGAAUAAGCACCGGCUAACUCCGUGCCAGCAGCCGCAGUAAC
This 517-nucleotide ribosomal RNA is filed under the name uncultured Gammaproteobacteria bacterium. Its description in RNAcentral is "bacterial SSU rRNA". It matches the Rfam family "Bacterial small subunit ribosomal RNA", at positions 9 to 524 of the family's 1533-position model. Lineage: Bacteria; Pseudomonadati; Pseudomonadota; Gammaproteobacteria. The record is from RNAcentral.